Molecule: unclassified non-coding RNA, 20 nt
Filed under: Human immunodeficiency virus 1
Lineage: Riboviria; Pararnavirae; Artverviricota; Revtraviricetes; Ortervirales; Retroviridae
Description: RNA (5'-R(P*AP*UP*CP*UP*GP*AP*GP*CP*CP*UP*GP*GP*GP*AP*GP*CP*U)-3') from Human immunodeficiency virus 1 (PDB 6CYT, chain N)
Source: RNAcentral
GAUCUGAGCCUGGGAGCUCA